RNAcentral lists this ribosomal RNA (410 nucleotides) under uncultured Gammaproteobacteria bacterium. Its description in RNAcentral is "bacterial SSU rRNA". It matches the Rfam family "Bacterial small subunit ribosomal RNA", at positions 370 to 779 of the family's 1533-position model. The record is from RNAcentral. Lineage: Bacteria; Pseudomonadati; Pseudomonadota; Gammaproteobacteria.
AAUGGGCGCAAGCCUGAUCCAGCCAUCCCGCGUGCAGGAUGACUGCCUAUGGGUUGUAAACUGCUUUUAUGUGAGAAGAACACUUGGAUUUAUCUGAGUUUGACGGUAUCACAGGAAUAAGCACCGGCUAACUCCGUGCCAGCAGCCGCGGUAAUACGGAGGGUGCAAGCGUUAUCCGGAAUCACUGGGUUUAAAGGGUGCGUAGGCGGUCUAAUAAGUCAGAGGUGAAAGUUCGCAGCUUAACUGUAAAAUUGCCUUUGAUACUGUUGGACUUGAAUUAGGUUGAGGUUAGCGGAAUGAGUCAUGUAGCGGUGAAAUGCAUAGAUAUGACUUAGAACACCAAUUGCGAAGGCAGCUGACUAGACCUAUAUUGACGCUGAGGCACGAAAGCGUGGGGAGCGAACAGGAUU